RNAcentral lists this ribosomal RNA (322 nucleotides) under bacterium enrichment culture clone ALO1_GLFRUDD03HKJ06. RNAcentral's name for it is "bacterial SSU rRNA". It matches the Rfam family "Bacterial small subunit ribosomal RNA", at positions 9 to 330 of the family's 1533-position model. The record is from RNAcentral.
GAGUUUGAUCUUGGCUCAGAUUGAACGCUGGCGGCAUGCCUUACACAUGCAAGUCGAACGGCAGCACGGGAGCUUGCUCCUGGUGGCGAGUGGCGAACGGGUGAGUAAUGCAUCGGAACGUAUCCUGGAGUGGGGGAUAACGUAGCGAAAGUUACGCUAAUACCGCAUAUUCUGUGAGCAGGAAAGCGGGGGACCUUCGGCCGUCGCGCUCUUGGAGCGGCCGAUGUCGGAUUAGCUAGUUGGUGAGGUAAAAGGCUCACCAAGGCGACGAUCCGUAGCAGGUCUGAGAGGAUGAUCUGCCACACUGGAACUGAGACACGGU